Molecule: unclassified non-coding RNA, 315 nt
Filed under: uncultured Aspergillaceae
Lineage: Eukaryota; Fungi; Ascomycota; Eurotiomycetes; Eurotiales; Aspergillaceae
Description: sequence contains ITS1
Rfam family: 5.8S ribosomal RNA (bases 1-105)
Source: RNAcentral
GAAAUGCGAUACUUGGUGUGAAUUGCAGAAUCCCGUGAACCAUCGAGUCUUUGAACGCAAGUUGCGCCCCCUGGUAUUCCGGGGGGCAUGCCUGUCCGAGCGUCAUUGCUGCCCUCAAGCACGGCUUGUGUGUUGGGCCCCCGCCCCCCGGCUCCCGGGGGGCGGGCCCGAAAGGCAGCGGCGGCAUCGCGUCCGGUCCUCGAGCGUAUGGGGCUUCGUCACCCGCUCUGUAGGCCCGGCCGGCGCCCGCCGGCGACCCCCCCUCAAUCUUUCCAGGUUGACCUCGGAUCAGGUAGGGAUACCCGCUGAACUUAA